GACGAACGCUGGCGGCGUGCUUAACACAUGCAAGUCGAACGGUAACAGGCCGCAAGGUGCUGACGAGUGGCGAACGGGUGAGUAAUGCAUCGGAACGUGCCCAGUCGUGGGGGAUAACGCAGCGAAAGCUGCGCUAAUACCGCAUACGAUCUAUGGAUGAAAGCGGGGGACCGUAAGGCCUCGCGCGAUUGGAGCGGCCGAUGUCAGAUUAGGUAGGUGGUGGGGUAAAGGCCUACCAAGCCGACGAUCUGUAGCUGGUCUGAGAGGACGACCAGCCACACUGGGACUGAGACACGGCCCAGACUCCUACGGGAGGCAGCAGUGGGGAAUUUUGGACAAUGGGCGCAAGCCUGAUCCAGCCAUGCCGCGUGCGGGAAGAAGGCCUUCGGGUUGUAAACCGCUUUUGUCAGGGAAGAAAUCCUUUGGGCUAAUACCCCGGGGGGAUGACGGUACCUGAAGAAUAAGCACCGGCUAACUACGUGCCAGCAGCAGCCGCCG
RNAcentral lists this ribosomal RNA (498 nucleotides) under uncultured bacterium. RNAcentral describes it as "partial 16S ribosomal RNA". It matches the Rfam family "Bacterial small subunit ribosomal RNA", at positions 28 to 523 of the family's 1533-position model. The record is from RNAcentral.